UACGUAGGUGGCAAGCGUUGUCCGGAUUUACUGGGCGUAAAGAGCGCGCAGGCGGUCGCUCAAGUCGCGUGUGAAAGCCCCCGGCUCAACUGGGGAGGGUCACGCGAUACUGAUCGACUGGAAGGCAGGAGAGGGUAGUGGAAUUCCCGGUGUAGUGGUGGAAUGCGUAGAUAUCGGGAGGAACACCAGUGGCGAAGGCGACUACCUGGCCUGUUCUUGACGCUGAGGCGCGAAAGCUAGGGGAGCAAACGGG
Molecule: ribosomal RNA, 253 nt
Filed under: uncultured bacterium
Lineage: Bacteria
Description: partial 16S ribosomal RNA
Rfam family: Bacterial small subunit ribosomal RNA
Source: RNAcentral